UCGGCGAAACUGAAACACCUGUGAAGAUACAGGUUACCCGCAACAGGACGGAAAGACCCCGUGGAGCUUUACUGCAUCCUGUCACUGAUCUGGGGCUUGCCAUGUAGAGGAUAGCUGGGAGACUGUGAAGUCGGGGCGCUAGCCUCGGCGGAGUCACCCUUGGAAUACCAGCCUUGGUUGGUCUUAGAUCUAACGUGCGCCCUGAUCGGGCGUGCAGACCGUGGCAGGUGGGCAGUUUGACUGGGGCGGUCGCCUCCUAAAGCGUAACGGAGGCGCCCAAAGGUUCCCUCAGCCUGGAUGGAAAUCAGGCCUAAAGAGUGUAAAGGCACAAGGGAGCUUGACUGUGAGGCAUACAAGCCGAACAGGGACGAAAGUCGGGCUUAGUGAUCCGCCAGCCCUGAAUGGAAAGGCUGGCGCUCAACGGACAAAAGCUACCCCGGGGAUAACAGGCUUAUCUUGCCCAAGAGUCAGAAGUGGCUCCCCGCCCAAGCGAUUGGGCGGUGAACUGCGGCUCAUAUCGGUGGAACCCAAGCAGAGUUCGAGGUAAGAUUCUGCGGGCAAUACCGAGGGAAGGUUGCUUGUUGUGGAAACGCUUCGAGUUUCUACAAGCUACGUUUGGAAGCUGCGAGGCUUCCAAGCAUGCUCUACAAGCUUCCCCCGUAACGACUUCUCGCUUUUUGCGAGGGAUGGAAGUCCAGGCCAUUGGGGCCAAAUCCACGACUUCCAUAAGACGCCGCUAUCUCGAAAGAGAUGAAGGUAUAGUCUGCGCUGCAAGGAAUUGCAGAGCGUCACAUCGACGGCAAGGUUUGGCACCUCGAUGUCGGCUCGUCGCAUCCUGGGGCUGGAGUAGGUCCCAAGGGUUGGGCUGUUCGCCCAUUAAAGCGGUACGCGAGCUGGGUUUAGAACGUCGUGAGACAGUUCGGUCCCUAUCCGUGGUGGGCGCAGGAGACUUGAGAGGAGUUACCCUCAGUACGAGAGGACCGGGGUGAACGGACCUCUGGUGUCCCGGUUGUCAUGCCAAUGGCAGUGCCGGGUAGCUAUGUUCGGAUGGGAUAAGUGCUGAAAGCAUCUAAGUACGAAGCCCACCUCAAGACAAGGUCUCCCACUGGGUUAACCAGGUAAGACCCCAGCGAGACUAGCUGGUUGAUAGGCCGCAGGUGUAAGACGGGCAACCGUUUCAGCUGAGCGGUACUAAUAGGUCGAGGGCUUGACCAUCUA
RNAcentral lists this ribosomal RNA (1218 nucleotides) under Chloroflexota bacterium. RNAcentral describes it as "Chloroflexi bacterium partial 23S ribosomal RNA". It matches the Rfam family "Bacterial large subunit ribosomal RNA", at positions 2033 to 2925 of the family's 2925-position model. The record is from RNAcentral. Lineage: Bacteria; Bacillati; Chloroflexota.